This 505-nucleotide ribosomal RNA is filed under the name uncultured glomeraceous AM fungus. Its description in RNAcentral is "SSU rRNA". It matches the Rfam family "Eukaryotic small subunit ribosomal RNA", at positions 590 to 1097 of the family's 1831-position model. Lineage: Eukaryota; Fungi; Glomeromycota; Glomeromycetes; Glomerales; Glomeraceae. The record is from RNAcentral.
UCCAAUAGCGUAUAUUAAAGUUGUUGCAGUUAAAAAGCUCGUAGUUGAAUUUCGGGGUCAGUAGGUCGGUCGUGCCACUGGUAUGAACUGGUUUCACUGAUUCCUCCCUCUUGUAGAACCGUGAUGCCAUUAAUUUGGUGUUGCGGGGAAACAGGACUGUUACUUUGAAAAAAUUAGAGUGUUUAAAGCAAGCUAACGCUUGAAUACAUUAGCAUGGAAUAAUGAAAUAGGACGUCUGUCUUAUUUUGUUGGUUUCUAGGAUGGACGUAAUGAUUAAUAGGGAUAGUUGGGGGCAUUAGUAUUCAAUUGUCAGAGGUGAAAUUCUUGGAUUUAUUGAAGACUAACUACUGCGAAAGCAUUUGCCAAGGAUGUUUUCAUUAAUCAAGAACGAAAGUUAGGGGAUCGAAGACGAUCAGAUACCGUCGUAGUCUUAACCAUAAACUAUGCCGACUAGGGAUCGGAUGAUGUUAAUUUUUUAAUGACUCAUUCGGCGCCUUACGGGAAC